This 230-nucleotide ribosomal RNA is filed under the name uncultured microorganism. RNAcentral describes it as "partial 16S ribosomal RNA". It matches the Rfam family "Bacterial small subunit ribosomal RNA", at positions 524 to 753 of the family's 1533-position model. The record is from RNAcentral.
UACGGAGGGUGCAAGCGUUGUUCGGAAUUACUGGGCGUAAAGCGUGUGUAGGCGGCUUGGUAAGUCUUAUUUUAAAUCCCUUUUCUUCACCCAGGAAGUGCAUCCGAUACUGUCAAGCUUGAGUCCUGGAGAGGGGUGUGGAAUUCCCGGUGUAGAGGUGAAAUUCGUAGAUAUCGGGAGGAACACCAGUGGCGAAGGCGACACCCUGGAUGGAGACUGACGCUGAGACA